UGGCUCAUGGACGACGACGUCGAGGUCGUCACCGACGGCCUGGACCGCAUGGGGCACUGGGCGCCGAAGUUCCGCAGCAUCCAGGGCCGCC
Molecule: transfer RNA, 91 nt
Filed under: Microbacterium sp. Bi128
Lineage: Bacteria; Bacillati; Actinomycetota; Actinomycetes; Micrococcales; Microbacteriaceae
Description: tRNA-Gly
Source: RNAcentral